GCAUUCUUAGCUCAGUUGGAAUAGAGCAACAACCUUCUAAGUUGCAGGUCGCAGGUUCAAGUCCUGCAGAAUGCA
This 75-nucleotide transfer RNA is filed under the name Medakamo hakoo. Its description in RNAcentral is "trnR-UCU". It matches the Rfam family "tRNA". From Rfam's summary of the family: Transfer RNA (tRNA) molecules are approximately 80 nucleotides in length. Their secondary structure includes four short double-helical elements and three loops (D, anti-codon, and T loops). Further hydrogen bonds mediate the characteristic L-shaped molecular structure. tRNAs have two regions of fundamental functional importance: the anti-codon, which is responsible for specific mRNA codon recognition, and the 3' end, to which the tRNAs corresponding amino acid is attached (by aminoacyl-tRNA synthetases). tRNAs cope with the degeneracy of the genetic code in two manners: having more than one tRNA (with a specific anti-codon) for a particular amino acid; and 'wobble' base-pairing, i.e. permitting non-standard base-pairing at the 3rd anti-codon position. Lineage: Eukaryota; Viridiplantae; Chlorophyta; Trebouxiophyceae; Coccomyxaceae. The record is from RNAcentral.